UUAAAAAGCGUCAAAGCUUACUAUCCUUAAUUUCUUAAUACAAUAAAUUUAAAUGACCCCUUAAUUAGUAUUGAAUGACUUCAUAUGUAUAUGAAAACCACUAUGCCGAAACUAGUAACAAGAAUUUGACAUUCUCCAAAAUGCAAACAUAAACUAAAAAGGACCACCCAUUAGUAAUUAACGAAAAUGAAACUUAUACAUAAACAACCCAAGAAAAAUAUGCAUAAUACAAAUCGUUAACCUGACACAAGAGCAUUUAUGGAAAGAUUUAAAGAAAAAGAAGGAACUCGGCAAAUCCUAACCCCGCCUGUUUACCAAAAACAUCGCCUCUUGUCAAAAUAUAAGAGGUCCAGCCUGCCCAGUGAAAAUUAAACGGCCGCGGUAUACUGACCGUGCAAAGGUAGCAUAAUCACUCGUCCCUUAAAUAGGGACUUGUAUCAACGGCACCACGAGGGUUAUACUGUCUCCUUUCUCUAAUCAGUGAAACUGAUCUUCCCGUGAAAAAGCGGGGAUACAUCUAUAAGACGAGAAGACCCCAUGGAGCUUUAGACCAAAAGCAAGUUAAACUAAUACACCACUUCAACCCCUUACGUUAUGCACAUUGGUCUUAGGUUGGGGCAACCGCGGAGAAAAAAUUAACCUCCACAACGAAAAGACCCUAGUCUUUAUUUCCGAGCUACCGCUCUAAAAAUUAGUAAACUAACGAUUAAUGAUCCGACUUAUGCCGAUCAAUGAACCAAGUUACCCUGGGGAUAACAGCGCAAUCUACUUUGAGAGCUCCUAUUGAUAAGUGGGUUUACGACCUCGAUGUUGGAUCAGGGUAUCCUGGUGGUGCAACCGCUACUAAAGGUUCGUUUGUUCAACGAUUAAAACC
Molecule: ribosomal RNA, 874 nt
Filed under: Feihyla vittatus (striped Asian treefrog)
Lineage: Eukaryota; Metazoa; Chordata; Amphibia; Anura; Rhacophoridae
Description: Rohanixalus vittatus (striped Asian treefrog) partial 16S ribosomal RNA
Rfam family: Bacterial large subunit ribosomal RNA
Source: RNAcentral